UACGGAGGAUCCAAGCGUUAUCCGGAUUUAUUGGGUUUAAAGGGUGCGUAGGCGGCCUAUUAAGUCAGGGGUGAAAUUUUUCGGCUCAACCGGAAGCUUGCCUUUGAUACUGAUAGGCUUGAUUACACUUGAGGUAGGCGGAAUGUGACAAGUAGCGGUGAAAUGCAUAGAUAUGUCACAGAACACCAAUUGCGAAGGCA
This 200-nucleotide ribosomal RNA is filed under the name uncultured bacterium. RNAcentral's name for it is "partial 16S ribosomal RNA". It matches the Rfam family "Bacterial small subunit ribosomal RNA", at positions 524 to 723 of the family's 1533-position model. The record is from RNAcentral.